CACCGGAAAAGGGGGGUAUAUUGGAUAGGGACAGAAAUUUUGCCUUGCAACAGGCCACCUACGGACCCCUCAAAGAGUUGUUGCGAGGGUUCUUAACGUGCAAAGAGCGUGGCACUCUCUUUACACGAGGCAUCGGAUUUAACGUGCCCCUUCUGACCGGACGUGACUGCAAACUUGAUACAUCCCGCACAGCCAAACGGACGCCCCACUUCGGCAAGCGUUUUACUG
Molecule: long non-coding RNA, 228 nt
Filed under: Mytilus galloprovincialis (Mediterranean mussel)
Lineage: Eukaryota; Metazoa; Mollusca; Bivalvia; Mytilida; Mytilidae
Source: RNAcentral